RNAcentral lists this ribosomal RNA (565 nucleotides) under Trigonopterus sp. 487 AR-2020. RNAcentral's name for it is "partial large subunit ribosomal RNA". It matches the Rfam family "Bacterial large subunit ribosomal RNA", at positions 1802 to 2636 of the family's 2925-position model. Lineage: Eukaryota; Metazoa; Arthropoda; Insecta; Coleoptera; Curculionidae. The record is from RNAcentral.
GUUAUUAAAAACAUGGCUUGUUGAUAAUGAUUUCAAGUCUGGCCUGCCCACUGAGAAUUUAAAUGGCCGCGGUAUAUUGACCGUGCAAAGGUAGCAUAAUCAUUAGUUUUUUGAUUGGAAGCUUGAAUGAAGGGUCUGAUGAGAAAAUAGCUGUCUCUAGAGAAGUUAGUUAGAAUUUUAUUUUUAAGUUAAAAAGCUUAGAUUUUUAUAGAAGACGAGAAGACCCUAUAGAGUUUUAUAUAUGUGUUAAUAUCUAGAUAUUUAGUUAUAAGAUAUUGUUUAGGUUUUUAUACGUAUAUUUUGUUGGGGUGAUGGAAAAACUAGUUUAACUUUUUUUAAUUUUUAUAUUUAUAUAUAGAUAAAUGAUCCUAGGGUUUAGAUUAUAAGAUUAAAUUACCUUAGGGAUAACAGCGUAAUUUUUUCUAGAGUUCUUAUCGAAGAAAUAGUUUGCGACCUCGAUGUUGGAUUAAAAUUUAUUACUGGUGCAGAAGCUGGUAGGUUGGGUCUGUUCGACCUUUAAAAUUUUACAUGAUCUGAGUUUAAACCGGUGUGAGCCAGGUCGGUU